Molecule: ribosomal RNA, 502 nt
Filed under: uncultured bacterium
Lineage: Bacteria
Description: partial 16S ribosomal RNA
Rfam family: Bacterial small subunit ribosomal RNA
Source: RNAcentral
GAUGAACGCUGGCGGCGUGCCUAAUACAUGCAAGUCGAACGAAUCUUCUUCGGAAGAUGAGUGGCGAACGGGUGAGUAAUACAUAGGUAACCUGCCCCUGUGCGGGGGAUAACAGGAGGAAACUCCUGCUAAUACCGCAUAGCCAUGAGCACCGCAUGGAGCUCAUGCCAAAUAUCCUUUAUGGGAUAGCGCAGGGAUGGACCUAUGGCGCAUUAGCUGGUUGGCGGGGCAACGGCCCACCAAGGCAACGAGGCGUAGCCGGCCUGAGAGGGCGGACGGCCACAUUGGGACUGAGACACGGCCCAGACUCCUACGGGAGGCAGCAGUAGGGAAUUUUCGGCAAUGGGGGAAACCCUGACCGAGCAACGCCGCGUGAGCGAAGAAGGCCUUCGGGUCGUAAAGCUCUGUUGUAAAGGAAGAACGGCGCAUACAGGAAAUGGUAUGCGAGUGACGGUACUUUACCAGAAAGCCACGGCUAACUACGUGCCAGCCGCCGCCGUAA